GCCUCCGUGGCGCAAUGGCUAGCGCGUUCGGCUGUUAACCGAAAGGUUGGUGGUUCGAGCCCACCCGGGGCGACUGCU
This is a non-coding RNA of Helicoverpa armigera (cotton bollworm), 78 nucleotides long. Lineage: Eukaryota; Metazoa; Arthropoda; Insecta; Lepidoptera; Noctuidae. The record is from the annotation of a RefSeq genome assembly.